ACUUGAUGACAUCGACGAUGAUUGCACGUGUAUUUAUAUUCCAACCUUCUUUUUAUAUAAAAGUAGCUCCGCAACAGGUAAAAGUGCUUGCAAAGCCAUAUUACAAAAUGGUGCAAUUCGCUUGACCCACUUAUCGAGGUCCGCUUCAGACAAGGCUUUACUUUCCUAAUGAUUCAUGCGACAGUCGGUUCAAAACAUUACGUACAGUUCUUUCAAAGAACUUUAAGUGGCUUAACAAGCUCUAAAACAAACAAAAAAUAUGUAUAUGGGCCAAUAGACGCCGCAUAGCAGUCAGUUUUCAAUGAAAUAUGACGACCCCACAACUGAAUAGGUCAAUUGGCACACCCUUGUAUGUAUGUAUUGUAAAGCAAUUGCCUUGGACUAUUUAAGUCUACCAUACUUCUGAGUGUUCAAUGAAACUACAUAUCACGAAAAGUACUGUUCUGCUGAUAAAAACUUAUCAAUAUAAAGCUGCCUAAAAGUGAGUAAGACUUUUUAGUCUGGUAAGCAAAACGAAUGAUAACAUACAUAUAUACAAGAAUAUUUCAUGGCUGUGCCUGUAUACGUACGUCCACACCUUACAUACGUACCUUACGAUAUGCAAAGAGAUCCUUCUGCAGCCGUUGUCGUUCUGCUGUCGGCUGUUGCCCCUUUCCACGAAUAAACUUUAACAUUGUUGCACGAAUUUAAUUUGACGUAACACAAUAACAAUACGGAUUUCACUUUUUGGGGAUUUAAAAACAC
Drosophila pseudoobscura is the source of this 744-nucleotide long non-coding RNA. RefSeq lists it as uncharacterized. NCBI's taxonomy places the organism in Eukaryota, Metazoa, Arthropoda, Insecta, Diptera, Drosophilidae. The record is from RefSeq and is a predicted model, not a curated record. The transcript has 2 exons.